Molecule: ribosomal RNA, 497 nt
Filed under: uncultured bacterium
Lineage: Bacteria
Description: partial 16S ribosomal RNA
Rfam family: Bacterial small subunit ribosomal RNA
Source: RNAcentral
GAUGAACGCUGGCGGCGUGCCUAAUACAUGCAAGUCGAGCGAACGGACGAGAAGCUUGCUUCUCUGAUGUUAGCGGCGGACGGGUGAGUAACACGUGGAUAACCUACCUAUAAGACUGGGAUAACUUCGGGAAACCGGAGCUAAUACCGGAUAAUAUUUUGAACCGCAUGGUUCAAAAGUUAAAGACGGUCUGGCUGUCACUUAUAGAUGGAUCCGCGCUGCAUUAGCUAGUUGGUAAGGUAACGGCUUACCAAGGCAACGAUGCAUAGCCGACCUGAGAGGGUGAUCGGCCACACUGGAACUGAGACACGGUCCAGACUCCUACGGGAGGCAGCAGUAGGGAAUCUUCCGCAAUGGGCGAAAGCCUGACGGAGCAACGCCGCGUGAGUGAUGAAGGUCUUCGGAUCGUAAAACUCUGUUAUUAGGGAAGAACAUAUGUGUAAGUAACUGUGCACAUCUUGACGGUACCUAAUCAGAAAGCCACGGCUAACUACGUG